AUUACUAACUUUUUUAUAAAACUAAUCCCUAUAUUAUUUACUAUCCAAUCACCGACAUGUUUCUUCUUGGUCUGUAGGCUUAUGAUAUUGAUACACUGUCAGAUGAACAGAGGUAUGCUAUCAAGGACCUUGCUGAUCUGGGACUAGUUAAGCUUCAGCAGGGUAGAAAAGAGAGUUGGUUCAUACCUACUAAAUUAGCCACAAAUCUUUCAAUGAGUUUGGCAGAUUCCUCUUCAAGGAAACAAGGAUUUGUUGUUGUGGAGACAAAUUUCAGGAUGUAUGCUUAUUCUUCUUCCAAACUACAUUGUGAAAUAUUACG
Molecule: long non-coding RNA, 319 nt
Organism: Cucumis melo (muskmelon)
Lineage: Eukaryota; Viridiplantae; Streptophyta; Magnoliopsida; Cucurbitales; Cucurbitaceae
Exons: 3
Source: RefSeq, a predicted model, not a curated record